RNAcentral lists this unclassified non-coding RNA (451 nucleotides) under Hevea brasiliensis (rubber tree). The record is from RNAcentral. Lineage: Eukaryota; Viridiplantae; Streptophyta; Magnoliopsida; Malpighiales; Euphorbiaceae.
AGGCAGGUUCAACUCAGAAAUAUCUGCAGGGAAAAAACAAAUGUAGUAUAAGGAAACGCUAGGAAAAAAGUUAGUUGAUGAUAUUUCUUGGUUUCUAAAACCAGAAGGAUAAGACAAACAUCAUUGAGCAGCAUAUUCAAAGACUCAAUCCACUUCCUCAAAGAAGCAUUAUAAAGACUUAUUCCAUAAAGCUUGUCAUAUUUGUACCAUGAUAUCUAUUUAAUGAUUACUUCCCUAUUAAAGUACCAAAAGCAAAUAGAUAUUUGUAUGCAUUCCUUUUGCCUUUCCAUUUCCAAACGUUCUGGAAAUUUCUGCCCAAGAUCACAUGAUCAACAAAUGUAUUCGACAAUACCUUUGCUAUUUCCCUAAGAUUCCUAGCACUAGUUUAACAAUUGCAACAACUCAAAAAAUGAUCUGCAAUAUCUCUUGAACACCUUUCAACUAUAUCCAU